This is a small nuclear RNA of Dipodomys ordii (Ord's kangaroo rat), 103 nucleotides long. Lineage: Eukaryota; Metazoa; Chordata; Mammalia; Rodentia; Heteromyidae. The record is from Ensembl.
GUACUUGCUUUGGCAGCACAUAUACUAAUAUCAGAAUGAUAGAAGAUUAGUAUGAACCCUGCACAAAGAUGACAUGCAAAUUCAUGAAAUGUUCCAUAUUUUU